GUAGAAGUGAAAGUAGAAGUAAAAUAGGUAUAACUACACACAAGGUCAAUGCAGCAGCAGACAACUAGUAGAUUUAGUUGUCUGUAGGAAAUGACAACACACAGUCUAUCUAGUUUGAUUUGUUUCCUAAUAUCCUUUCAGGUUGUAUUACAAUCAUCCAGUGAUCCACAUAACAUUAGGAUGAACCCUGCUAUUCUCCACUCAGGCGGAGAGAGAAAGAUGAUUAAACGAUAAGAUCCUGCAUUUUGGGAAUGUAGGAAAAACAUGUCAAAUGAACAUUCAGAAGAAUAACCAGAGGCACAAUGGCAACCACUAAACAGACUGCUGUGAAGUAUGGUAACCACUAAACAGACUGCUGUGAAGUAUGGCAACCACUAAACAGACUGCUGUGAAGUAUGGCAACCACUAAACAGACUGCUGUGAAGUAUGGCAACCACUAAACAGACUGCUGUGAAGUAUGGCGACCACUAAACAGACUGCUGUGAAGUAUGGUAACCACUAAACAGACUGCUGUGAAGUAUGGUAACCACUAAACAGACUGCUGUGAAGUAUGGCGACCACUAAACAGACUGCUGUGAAGUAUGGCAACCACUAAAUAGACUGCUGUGAAGUAUGGUAACCACUAAACAGACUGCUGUGAAGUAUGGCAACCACUAAACAGACUGCUGUGAAGUAUGUCACAGAUCGCAGACUGGACCUUAUCAGAGCGCUCAAGGAUCUGACACUUAUUGUUGACAAUCUUCAGCAGCUGAGAGUUUUCCUCAGUGAGGAAGUGGAAGUUAUCAAUAGUAAGGAGACAAGAAGUGACAAAGCCAGAGAAAUACUGGACCGAGUCGUUAAAAAGGGGGAAAGAGCAUGUUGUAAGUUACUGAAGAUUCUGUACAUUACGAGACAGAGGAGAUUACCGGAGCCAUCAUCUGAUUCAAAGGACCUAUACCACUGGAUCAGCUGCUUCCCAUUUGAGGAAGACCAAGAGGUGGACACUGUCAUUCUUGAAGGCUCGAUAGCCUGUCAAAGAUAUCAGACACAGCUGAAAUGUAAAGCACGGAAGAUCCCAGAGGGUGCAUGGAAACAAAGCUGUAGUCUCCUAUCAGAGAGAUGUAGAAAUGAGGGGACUUUCUCUUACACCCCUCUUGUGUUAGAUACAGAUGUGCAUUCAUCUGACUCUAAAAUUAAAAUGAAGAAUAA
RNAcentral lists this long non-coding RNA (1188 nucleotides) under Salmo salar (Atlantic salmon). Its description in RNAcentral is "lncRNA (ENSSSAG00000116947.1)". Lineage: Eukaryota; Metazoa; Chordata; Actinopteri; Salmoniformes; Salmonidae. The record is from RNAcentral.